RNAcentral lists this microRNA (23 nucleotides) under Bovine leukemia virus. RNAcentral describes it as "BLV-miR-B1-3p". Lineage: Riboviria; Pararnavirae; Artverviricota; Revtraviricetes; Ortervirales; Retroviridae. The record is from RNAcentral.
GCCUCUUCUUGCUGCCAGUACCG